This is a long non-coding RNA of Lepisosteus oculatus (spotted gar), 388 nucleotides long. RefSeq lists it as uncharacterized. The record is from RefSeq and is a predicted model, not a curated record. Lineage: Eukaryota; Metazoa; Chordata; Actinopteri; Semionotiformes; Lepisosteidae.
GGGUAACAGAGCCCAGUUUUAAAAAAAAACGCAAUGACGGGGCCCUGAGCACGAGGAUUGGGUACACACGACUAAAAUGAAAAGCAAAAGUGUAUUACACCGCAUACUGUAUCAUGAAGAAAAGACGAGUGUCUCGAAGAGCUGUGAAGCGGAAUACUGUUGACGACCAGCAAUGCUUGAACUUAACGAGACUGGAAUGACAUGUAUGGACUGUUACAUUGCUGUUAUACCAUUGGGUUUCUUCCAGUUCAGGGCUAUCCUAUGGGGGAUGCAGAGCCUAUCCAAGCAUGCAAUGGGCACAAGGCAUGGAAGACCCUGGACGAGAUGUCAGUCCAUUGCAGGGUAGGGCAUAUGAACAGACACAAACACAGACACGCGCACAUUCACA